RNAcentral lists this ribosomal RNA (673 nucleotides) under Pratylenchus flakkensis. Its description in RNAcentral is "bacterial SSU rRNA". It matches the Rfam family "Eukaryotic small subunit ribosomal RNA", at positions 223 to 903 of the family's 1831-position model. Lineage: Eukaryota; Metazoa; Nematoda; Chromadorea; Rhabditida; Pratylenchidae. The record is from RNAcentral.
CCAUACGGCUUCGGCCGUCCAUUGUUGACUCAGAAUAACUAAGCUGAUCGCAUGGUCUUGUACCGGCGACGUGUCUUUCAAGUUUCUGCCUUAUCAACUUUCGAUGGUAGUGUAUUUGACUACCAUGGUGGUGACGGGUAACGGAGGAUAAGGGUUCGACUCCGGAGAAGGGGCCUGAGAAAUGGCCACUACGUCUAAGGAUGGCAGCAGGCGCGCAAAUUACCCACUCUCAGUGCGAGGAGGUAGUGACGAGAAAUAACGAGAACGUUCUCUUCAGAGGCCGUUCAUCGGAAUGGGUACAAUUUAAACCCUUUAACGAGUAUCUAUGAGAGGGCAAGUCUGGUGCCAGCAGCCGCGGUAAUUCCAGCUCUCAAAAUGCAUAGAAUUAUUGCUGCGGUUAAAAAGCUCGUAGUUGGAUCUGUGCCGGCUGACCGGUCCACCUCACGGUGCGCACUGGCUCAGUGGGCUUUUUGGUGGCAUACUGCCGCGAGAGCUUCAUCGCUCCCGUGGUCAGAGCCACAAGUUUACCUUGAACAAAUCAAAGUGCUCAAAACAGGCGUUUGCUUGAAUGUUCGUGCAUGGAAUAAUAGAAGAGGAUUUCGGUUCUAUUUUAUUGGUUUUAUAGACUGAGAUAAUGGUUAACAGAGACAAACGGGGGCAUUCGUAUUGCCAC